GAGGUUAAUUUGUGUAUCACUGAAUUGUAUGAUUUUUUCAGGAUCAGCUGAGAUGUUAUUUCACUGGAUUAUUUAAUGGAUAGGCUUAUUGGGCAUAUGGUUGGAUAUCUCUGGAUCAGCUGAGAUGUUAUUUCACUGGAUUAUUUAAUGGAUAGGCUUAUUGGGCAUAUAGUUGAAUAUCUCUGUCCUCAACCUGGAAGAUAUGUUUUGUUCCUAACCAUCUAUAAUCCAUUCUCUAUGAAGUUCAGACUGUCUGCUAUUCCUUUGGAAAUACACAGUUAGUCAAAAAA
Molecule: long non-coding RNA, 290 nt
Organism: Saccostrea cuccullata (small rock oyster)
Lineage: Eukaryota; Metazoa; Mollusca; Bivalvia; Ostreida; Ostreidae
Exons: 3
Source: RefSeq, a predicted model, not a curated record